CUAUCACUCCUACGGGAGGCAGCAGUGGGGAAUAUUGCACAAUGGGCGCAAGCCUGAUGCAGCCAUGCCGCGUGUAUGAAGAAGGCCUUCGGGUUGUAAAGUACUUUCAGCAGUGAGGAAGGUGGAGUCGUUAAUAGCGGCCUCAUUUGACGUUAGCUGCAGAAGAAGCACCGGCUAACUCCGUGCCAGCAGCCGCGGUAAUACGGAGGAUCCAAGCGUUAUCCGGAAUCAUUGGGUUUAAAGGGUCCGUAGGCGGUUUUAUAAGUCAGUGGUGAAAUCCGGCAGCUCAACUGUCGAACUGCCAUUGAUACUGUAGAACUUGAAUUAUUGUGAAGUAACUAGAAUAUGUAGUGUAGCGGUGAAAUGCUUAGAGAUUACAUGGAAUACCAAUUGCGAAGGCAGGUUACUAACAAUAUAUUGACGCUGAUGGACGAAAGCGUGGGUAGCGAACAGGAUUAGAUACCCUGGUAG
Molecule: ribosomal RNA, 471 nt
Filed under: uncultured bacterium
Lineage: Bacteria
Description: bacterial SSU rRNA
Rfam family: Bacterial small subunit ribosomal RNA
Source: RNAcentral